CAACCUCUGACGUCAAUUUUUGGACCCUACACAGGCAUUCCCCUAUUAGCUGCUAGUCGUAUGCAACAUUGGGCAUUGUUACUUUCAGCACACACAUAUGAAAUCAAAUAUCGGAAAUCCACUCUGCACGGCAAUGCAGAUGGCCUCUCAAGGUUGCCUUUGCCGGUCAAACAUCAAGAUAGUGCCCAAAAGGAAAUCUUCUACUUUGAACAGGUAGAGAAUACACCCAUCACUGCUACUCAGAUAAAGAAGGCAACUCACGUUGACCCAGUAUUGUCCCAAGUUAUGGACCUGGUGAUGCAUGGAAAAUCUCGACAAACCUCUCCGGUCUCACCCGACCUUGUUACCUACAUGUCCAGGAGGACGGAGUUAUCGGUCCAAUCUGGUUGUUUGUUGUGGGGGAGACGUGUCAUUAUUCCACCACCACUGAGAUCACAGAUGUUAGAACAGCUACAUUCCGGUCACUGUGGAAUAGUGCGCAUGAAGGAAAUUGCACGAAGCUAUUUUUGGUGGCCUGGAUUGGACAGUGCUAUUGAAGAGAAGGCAAAAGCUUGUAUGUCAUCUCAGGGUGUGAGGAGUGCAUCCCAGUGGGCACCCCUACAUCCAUGGGACUGGCCUGAAAACCCGUGGCAACGUAUUCACAUUGACUUCGCUGGCCCCCUUGAAGGAAGCAUGUUCUUGGUGGCAGUAGAUGCCCAUUCUAAAUGGCCAGAAGUCUCUAUAAUGCAGUCCACUACUGCAGAGAGUACUAUCCAAAAACUAUGGGGACUCUUUAGUCAUUUCGGUCUACCAGAACAACUUGUGAGCGACAAUGGACAGCAGUUUGUCCCUCAGGAGUUUCAAAAUUUUAUGAAGGCAAAUGGGAUACACCACAUCACGUCAGCACCAUAUCAUCCAUCCACCAAUGGAUUAGCUGAAAGAUUUGUGCAGACAAUGAAACACGCUUUGAAAUCAGCAAGGGGACAACACUCCAUUCAAAAGCAUCUGGAUACCUUCUUACUUUCCUACAGAAACACACCUCAUGCUACGACCCAGGCAGCCCGGGCCUUUCUAAUGAUGGGACGACAGCUACGCACUUGCUUUGAUCUGCUGAACCCUUCUGAACCCCGACAAAUUGUGCAACAUCAGCAGCAAUGGUCAUCAGACAGGCACCCAGAGCAAAAGACCAAACCUUUA
This 1176-nucleotide long non-coding RNA is filed under the name Gopherus agassizii (Agassiz's desert tortoise). RNAcentral describes it as "lncRNA (ENSGAGG00000019925.1)". The record is from RNAcentral. Lineage: Eukaryota; Metazoa; Chordata; Testudines; Testudinidae.